UGGGGGCACUUAUGGGGUCUUGGGGGCAGAUAUGGGAUCAGAGGGGUCACAUUUGGGGGGCUUGGGGGUCUUGGGGGGCAGUUAUGGGGUCAGUGGGGUCACAUUUGGGGCAAUUGGGGGUCUUGGGGGGCAGAUAUGGGGUCAGAGGGGUCACGUUUGGGGCAAUUGAGGGUCUUGGGUGGCAGAUAUGGGGUCAAAGGAACUGCAUUGGGGGCACUUAUGGGGUCUUGGGAGGAGAUACGAGGCCAGAGGGACCACAUUUGGGGUCCUUGGGGGCACAUAUGGGAUCAGAGGGGUCACAUUUGGGGCAAUUGAGGGUCUUGGGGGGCAGAUAUGGGGUCAAAGGAACUGCAUUGGGGGCACAUAUAAGGUCUUGGGGGCAGAUACGAGGCCAGAGGGACCACAUUUGGGGUCUUUGGGGGUCUUGGGGGCAGAUAUGGGGUCAAAGAAGUGCAAAGGGGGCACUUAUGGGGUCUUGGGGGGAGAUAGGAGGCCAGAGGGACCACAUUUGGGGUCCUUGUGGGUCUUGAGGGGAACAUAUGGGGUCAGGGGAACUGCGUUUGGGGUGCUCAGGGGUCUUGGGAGGCGGAUAUGGGGUUUAAAGAACCGGUUUUGGGGUGCUUGGGGAGCAGAGAUGGGGCAAAAGGAAACAAGUUUGGGGUCGGAGGAGAUUUGGGGGGCAAGGGGGAUGGGGGGGCAA
This 700-nucleotide long non-coding RNA is filed under the name Phasianus colchicus (ring-necked pheasant). RNAcentral's name for it is "lncRNA (ENSPCLG00000016946.1)". The record is from RNAcentral. Lineage: Eukaryota; Metazoa; Chordata; Aves; Galliformes; Phasianidae.